RNAcentral lists this long non-coding RNA (410 nucleotides) under Brassica napus (rape). RNAcentral describes it as "long non-coding RNA (BNAP_LNC009481)". The record is from RNAcentral. Lineage: Eukaryota; Viridiplantae; Streptophyta; Magnoliopsida; Brassicales; Brassicaceae.
UUUAUUCAACUAAACCCAAUACACGAGAAGUAACACUUUAUUCAACUAAUACGAAAAUAAUAUUUUACCUCGGAUGGAGCAGAUAGAUCAUCACUUGAGUUCCCGUCUGAAAGCUCUUCUACAUGCUCUUCUACUACAGGAGCAAUGUUUUUUCGAGCUCUUGUGGUCGUUCUUUUUUUCUGAUUACUCUGAUUUUUCUGUCUGCGCUUCUUACGGCCUCCCAUUAUCUUGAUCCUCUAAAAAUCCAAAACUAACCAAGAACGAGAAUCAUUAAUCUGCCUAAUCUUAAUACCAUUCGCUCAAUUAAUAAAUCUCCAAGCCUCUUUCAAUCUAUAUAUGCUCAAACGUUCAAAGACUCAAUCCCCCAAUUCGGUUUCACAUAUCAAACAUUCAACCCAACAUUCUCUCUA